AACUGAAUAGAUCAGAAGCAACUGCUGAGAUAAAUUUAUAGCUUUACCGUUUCAAAAUCUAAAUGUAAAAUUGACCUGAAUGCCAGGGGAUUCAAAGGUAAGACAUGGCUGUGUUUUUGUGUCUUGGUUUGGUAAGAAUCUCAGCUCACUCUAUUAUGGUAGAUAGGCUGUCAUACCAAGGCAGAUUUGAGUGACCUCAGUUUCCAUUUGGUCUCGGUGUUACAUUUCCUUCGGCAUGGAGUAUAUUUGCAGGUUAUUAGAAGUUGUAUGUUGUUGGUGGUGG
This 283-nucleotide long non-coding RNA is filed under the name Bos taurus (domestic cattle). RNAcentral describes it as "long non-coding RNA NONBTAT009483". The record is from RNAcentral. Lineage: Eukaryota; Metazoa; Chordata; Mammalia; Artiodactyla; Bovidae.